GGGCAUAUAGCUCAGUGGUAGAGCAUGUGCUUAGCAUGCAUGAGGUCCGGGGUUCAAUCCCCAGUAUCUCCA
RNAcentral lists this transfer RNA (72 nucleotides) under Camelus bactrianus (Bactrian camel). It matches the Rfam family "tRNA". From Rfam's summary of the family: Transfer RNA (tRNA) molecules are approximately 80 nucleotides in length. Their secondary structure includes four short double-helical elements and three loops (D, anti-codon, and T loops). Lineage: Eukaryota; Metazoa; Chordata; Mammalia; Artiodactyla; Camelidae. The record is from Rfam by way of RNAcentral. RNAcentral also lists the same sequence under 2 other names.